CGAUGCAGUCGACGAACUCUGGUAUUGAUUGGUGCUUGCAUCAUGAUUUACAUUUGAGUGAGUGGCGAACUGGUGAGUAACACGUGGGAAACCUGCCCAGAAGCGGGGGAUAACACCUGGAAACAGAUGCUAAUACCGCAUAACAACUUGGACCGCAUGGUCCGAGUUUGAAAGAUGGCUUCGGCUAUCACUUUUGGAUGGUCCCGCGGCGUAUUAGCUAGAUGGUGGGGUAACGGCUCACCAUGGCAAUGAUACGUAGCCGACCUGAGAGGGUAAUCGGCCACAUUGGGACUGAGACACGGCCCAAACUCCUACGGGAGGCAGCAGUAGGGAAUCUUCCACAAUGGACGAAAGUCUGAUGGAGCAACGCCGCGUGAGUGAAGAAGGGUUUCGGCUCGUAAAACUCUGUUGUUAAAGAAGAACAUAUCUGAGAGUAACUGUUCAGGUAUUGACGGUAUUUAACCAGAAAGCCACGGCUAACUACGUGCCAGCAGCCGCGGUAAUACGUAGGUGGCAAGCGUUGUCCGGAUUUAUUGGGCGUAAAGCGAGCGCAGGCGGUUUUUUAAGUCUGAUGUGAAAGCCUUCGGCUCAACCGAAGAAGUGCAUCGGAAACUGGGAAACUUGAGUGCAGAAGAGGACAGUGGAACUCCAUGUGUAGCGGUGAAAUGCGUAGAUAUAUGGAAGAACACCAGUGGCGAAGGCGGCUGUCUGGUCUGUAACUGACGCUGAGGCUCGAAAGUAUGGGUAGCAAACAGGAUUAGAUACCCUGGUAGUCCAUACCGUAAACGAUGAAUGCUAAGUGUUGGAGGGUUUCCGCCCUUCAGUGCUGCAGCUAACGCAUUAAGCAUUCCG
RNAcentral lists this ribosomal RNA (852 nucleotides) under Lactiplantibacillus plantarum. Its description in RNAcentral is "bacterial SSU rRNA". It matches the Rfam family "Bacterial small subunit ribosomal RNA", at positions 54 to 871 of the family's 1533-position model. The record is from RNAcentral. Lineage: Bacteria; Bacillati; Bacillota; Bacilli; Lactobacillales; Lactobacillaceae.